CCUACGGGAGGCAGCAGUGGGGAAUAUUGGACAAUGGGGGGAACCCUGAUCCAGCCAUGCCGCGUGUGUGAAGAAGGCCCUCGGGUUGUAAAGCACUUUCAGUGAGGAAGAACGCCUGGUGGUUAAUACCCAUCAGGCAAGACAUCACUCACAGAAGAAGCACCGGCUAACUCCGUGCCAGCAGCCGCGGUAAUACGGAGGGUGCGAGCGUUAAUCGGAAUUACUGGGCGUAAAGCGCGCGUAGGUGGCUUGAUAAGCCGGUGUGAAAGCCCCGGGCUCAACCUGGGAACGGCAUCCGGAACUGUCAAGCUAGAGUGCAGGAGAGGAAGGUAGAAUUCCCGGUGUAGAGGUGAAAUGCGUAGAGAUCGGGAGGAAUACCAGUGGCGAAGGCGGCCUUCUGGACUGACACUGACACUGAGGUGCGAAAGCGUGGGUAGCAAACAGGAUUAGAUACCCUAGUAGUC
RNAcentral lists this ribosomal RNA (464 nucleotides) under Vreelandella stevensii. Its description in RNAcentral is "partial 16S ribosomal RNA". It matches the Rfam family "Bacterial small subunit ribosomal RNA", at positions 338 to 795 of the family's 1533-position model. Lineage: Bacteria; Pseudomonadati; Pseudomonadota; Gammaproteobacteria; Oceanospirillales; Halomonadaceae. The record is from RNAcentral.